Cercocebus atys (sooty mangabey) is the source of this 3070-nucleotide non-coding RNA. Lineage: Eukaryota; Metazoa; Chordata; Mammalia; Primates; Cercopithecidae. The record is from the annotation of a RefSeq genome assembly.
GCAGCCUUCCACAUAUACUCUAUCAGAGCUUGUGCUCUACAAACACACCUGAUACUAAAUUAGUGACUUCUGAUAGUGCAGAUGGGGACAGCCACCAGUCCCUCUGGAGACAUUUCCCAUAACAUGAACCAGUGAACCCAUCUCUGAAAGCCCUCAUAUUUUAAAAAAUAAAAUUUUUGAAUUUCAAGGAAAACUAAACCUUUGAAAAAAACACGAUUCAAAAGAGAACCAUGCCACUUUCCAUUUCUGCUUGGGCUGCAGUGAGGACAGAUGUAGAAAGUGCUUCUGACGUCUGUGUCUGUUCCCCUGUGUGGACGCACAUAUUCAGGAGAGUUUAAACGAGGUAGGUGACUUCGGCAGCGUUGGCCGGGCUCUGGUUUGCUUCUGGUGCUAACAGAACAUAGAAGAGAGGACAGGGUAGCGUGUCCCGAAGAUCAGAGAUUUUCUUUUUGCAGGAAGUGCCUGGGCUCCUGGAGUGUUCUCAGGGCUUUGAUCCAGGCCACUGGCUCCACAAUCAACAUCACUGAUAUUUCAGCAGGUCACUGACCUAAUUCCAUUUUAGCGCUAUCUCAAAUGGAAACAUUAUUUUCUUACAACUAUUCAUACAGCAACAUAGCACAUAAAUAUCUAAAUAACACAUGCAGAAACAGUAGUCUCAAAUGCAAAGCUGUCACCUCCCCACACCACACACUUUCUCACCUGAGCCCCUGAGCCCACUCUUCCCUCCUCUCACCCUUGCCUAGGGCUCCCUUUUCCUGUGCCAUUACAAAUGUCUUCUAACAGGGACAGUGACACAAGACAGUCCCCCCACCUCCUCCAAGCACUCACACCACAGAACCCCCAGUCCAUCUCCUGAGGGGACGUUUACAUUUCUAUUCUGACAGAGAGAAGUCACUGUGAUUGGAGUCUUUACCCCAAACCCAGGAGUUUCUGAAGAACACAUGGGGUCAGCCACUCUCUUGUGUCGGGAGGCUUCACCUCAGGGAGGCGCCCGGCUCUGGGCUGAGGCGGACUCAAUGUGAACUAAAAGGCAGGACUAAGGAAAGUCCUGGGUCACACUGUGAGCGACGCACGCGCCCUCAGAAGGGGUCCCUGGUGCUAACCCUGACCCAAUUCUAACCCCGGGCACCUUUCCUCAGCUCCUCUGGCCCUGGGACACCUCCCUAACCUGCUUCCCAUGAGGCUGGUCACAGCUGUUGUGAGCACUGCCUUCUCCAUGUCACACUUUUUCUGUCAACAUUUUGAGGAGCCAGUGGUUUUCUCCUCAUCCCAUGUUCCUGUCCCACCCGCCUGCUGGGGGUGGAUUUAUUUCAUGUGUGAGGUUUCCUCAGCCCUGAGCCACAGCUGCCUCAUGGACACCAACCCUGUGGGACGCUCCUCUGGGAAAAGCAAACAGGAACCAAGAGGAGCAUCUGGAGCCCUGGUGUGGGAGACACACUCCAUCUUGGGGGAGGGAGCGUGGAGGGGAUGAGAAGGGACCAGGGGCCUAGGAUUGAGCUGGGAAGGGAACCAAAAGGCAGAAAGGGCAGAGCAGGGGCUGUCAGCUGUGACUCAGGGAAGGAUCCUGGGCCUCGGGCUCCUCCUUCUGAGGCCACCAGGGGACAGCGCAGGCCUGGACCUGGGAGGUCCCUGCUGGGCUUCACGUGGGGUGACUCCUAGGAGCUCCUUCUUCCUAAGUCCCCCUAAAGAGACAGAAGCAGUCUGGGGUCCUAAAUCUGUCGUGCCCCCAUAAAUGCAUUUCUAGAAGGGCCAAUAAAUGAACCCCAGGUUUAUCCAAACAGCAGCUUCAGGCCCCUGCAGACACAGAGGGCAGAGCAAGGUGUGAGGAACUAGCCGACCUGAGGAGCCCUAGAAGGGCUGAGGGGGACUGAGGGGUCCCUGGGAAGGGGAACGCUGGGGUGUCUCCAAGCCACUCUGGGCCCUGCCCUCACACUGGCCCCACAAAGAAGGGAAGGGAAAUCCUGGGACCCCACAGCCGUCCUGGACCACCAUGAACCGCAGCACAGGAAGGACAAGGACCCCAAGGCUGGCUCCAUUUCCCGGGGACUGUCAUGGGCUCAGUCUCAGGAAAUCCAAGUCAAGGAGUUUCAAUCCCCCCAGAUGAGCCCUGCUGUCCAGGGAAGCAGAAAUCUCUGAGCCCAGGCCCAGGUGAGGGUGGGGCGAGGACAGGAGCUCAGGACAUAGAUUUGCAUGGAGGCCCCGCCCUCCUCUGAGGCAGUGGGGGUAAGACAGGGCUGGGGCCAGGUCCAGGGCUGGGGUCUCGGCAGCGCUCUCUGGACGUCUCCACCAUGGCCUGGGCUCUGCUCCUCCUCACCCUCCUCACUCAGGGCACAGGGUCCUGGGCUCAGUCUGCCCCGAUUCAGUCUCCCUCUGUGUCUGGGUCUCUUGGACAGUCGGUCACCAUCUCCUGCACUGGAACCAGCAGUGACAUUGGGCGUUAUAACUAUGUCUCCUGGUACCAACAGCAGCCAGGCACGACCACCAAACUCAUGAUGUACAAUGUCAAUAUGUGGCCCUCAGGGGUCUCUGAUCGCUUCUCUGGCUCCAAGUCUGGCAACACGGCCUCCCUGACCAUCUCUGGACUCCAGGCUGAGGACGAGGCUGAUUAUUACUGUAGCUCAUAUGAGGCCAGCGACACUUUCCACAGUGGUCCAAGUUCACAGGGAACUGAGACCAAAACCUGCCCUGGGCUCUCAGACUUCCUCCUUUCUCUGAAGAUGCUUCUUCACCCUGUGCAAGGGGCUCCCUGCAACACGUCCUUGAGAAUUCUUCUCUCUCAGCUCCUCUCCUUUCCCACUACGAAAUCCAAAAGGAAACCUGCUCUGUGGUUUCUCAUCCAGGACAGGGACAGCUUCCUUUUGCUUUAGUAUUGUUGUCCCUGAAUGUGCAACUAUUCCUAGCUUUUUAAAUUCAGGGAGAGUGACAAUGAGUUUCCUGAUUGGUGCAGUCCCUGCUGUUCUGAGGAACAUCCUCAUCCUAAAUGUACUGGAAUCUCCCACUGUGUGCAGACCAAUCUGGACAGACACUAUUAGGGGUAGUUUCCAGAAAUCACAUCUUACUCGACAUUGUA